CUGGGAAGGAGCUAGACAGUGCUUUUUUCAAAUGUAUAAACAUUUCAGACGUAUUAAAAUAUUGAGAAAAUCUUUGAGAUUCUAGGCAUUCAAUUAAGUGUCGAUAUUGUUUUUGACGGUAUAUUCAUUACACAGAGUUAGGAAGAAGCGAUACAGUUUGUUUUCAAAUAUAUAAACAUUUCAGACAUGAAUAUUGAGAAAAUCUUUGAGAUUCUACGCAAUAUAUAAAUUGAUGUUUUGUAUUUUACCGGCAUACUUGCGAAAAGCUGAAAAUGACUCAUGAAAAGCAACUUGAUCUUGGGAAUAUAAAGUCAAAGGUCAAUGAGACUUGUUAUUGUGAUACAUGUCUGUCACAAUUAGGUUAAAAUGCGGAUGCGGAACGGAGCGGGUCCACGCAGCGGAUGCGGAACGGAUAUGGGGAUAAAAUGCGGAACGGAAAUGGGGAUAAAAUGCGUCAUAAUGUGUUUUUCGCCUCAUUUUGACGUUUCUGGGUUUUUUAUUUAUGUUAUUUUGUAAUGGAUGCAACGUCGUAUUAACUAAUUAUACAGCUAUUUCAAUUAAUGAGUACUCACUGAGGCAAUAGUGAAAUGUGCAAUAUGGGCGCGGAAAGGAUAAUGGGAAUAAUCAUAGUUUUAAAUAAGUUUAGUAUAUCAGUAGCCUCAUGGGGAUACGUUCAGCGACAGCUCCCAAUGCAAAAUUAAUGUAGUUUUAGAAUAUACAAAAUUUGGUUGUUGGUGAAACAAUUUAAAUUUCGAAAACAUAGAAUACCAAUGUAUUCCUUCUUUUCCACUAAAAAACUAUUCGCAGAUAUCUUAUUAAUAACAAAUUAAAUAAUAAUUUUCAAUUAGAUUUGCUGUUUUGUUUUAAAAUGCAUGCGUUUGUUUUUACGUAUACGGGAAAAUAAUAGACCGCUUUAAAGUGGUUCUCAGCCAAUCACAGUCCGCCAUUUCACCGGAAGUGAAGUUUACCAUAUAAAUAAUAGCCAAUAUAUAGCUCCCAAUGAUACAUUAACCUAGAAAGUUAAAACUAAC
Non-coding RNA from Paramuricea clavata, 1031 nucleotides. The record is from the annotation of a GenBank genome assembly. Lineage: Eukaryota; Metazoa; Cnidaria; Anthozoa; Malacalcyonacea; Plexauridae.